RNAcentral lists this non-coding RNA (215 nucleotides) under uncultured Hungatella sp. The record is from RNAcentral. Lineage: Bacteria; Bacillati; Bacillota; Clostridia; Lachnospirales; Lachnospiraceae.
UAACUGAUAUUCCGAUGAGUGGAAUGAGAGGGUAACGCCUUGAAACGCUCCCCUAAUACUACGACAAAAGGGCGGUCUGCAAAUUGACCUAACCCUGAUGCAGCUCGUUGAAGUCGGCUGAAUACACUCGCUUUACUCGUGGUCAACAUUAGAAACAACGGUAAGGCAAACGCAAACCAGAGGUGGUUGUGGGUGUUAGGUCGGGGGUCUAUAAA